GUCGGGAUCGAUCCCACGGACUCCUUGUAUACCAAGUGAGCUAGUUAACAUCUCGCCACCGUGGCGCCCGAUACAGGCAUCAGAGUGGUCCGCACGAGUCCUGCGAUUCAAGGCGGAAGACGCAAGGCCAGGUGGUGGGCGGCUGUUAGGGCUGUUCUUGGGAGGUCGCGCGUCUACUGUGCCGCAGGUGUGGGAUCUGCCAAAGGGUAGGAAAGCGUUCACCGACGUGCGGUGGUAGCAACGGUGGCCGUGAAGACAUAUCUAUCCCGAAUGCAAUGCAAUAGGAAUGCACAACGCGUCUGAAUGUGGCUGCAUUUGAAGUCGCUGUAUACAAACCGUGGACAUGUUUUUUUUACUUUAAUGGAGAGUGGCAGUCACAGGCAAAGUGUAAAAUAGGAGGGGCCUUGAGACUGGACUUGAACAGGGCCAUGGAGUCGACAGCACGGAUGGCUGGGGGGAAGGGAGUUCCAGACAAUUGGAGCAGCAGAGGAGAAUCAGCGACCUCCCACUGAGCGACGGUUGCUUAAGGGCUUCUACAAAAACCUUGGUUAGAUGAGUAGCGUGAGAUAAGAGCGGAGAGGUAGGAGAGCGCAUAGGAGUAAAGCGAGCUAGAGUGAAACAGGAGGCGAGAGCUGGGAAAAGGCAGUUAAUUAUUCACAGCUAUUGCGGCGACAUUCUGUUUAUGCAGGGAAUUGGUAUUAAUAUCCACAUUACGUAAAAGCUAAUAGGCUAAUUGGGUGCGUGUGUUCGCGUGCGCGUGUGUGUGCGCGUGUGUGUGCGUGUGGCCAACGUGGGCAAGAGAGAAUUAGCAAUGAGAAGCGAACCCUGAUGGAAAUAUUCACGCUCAACGGGCCUCUCUAGCAGCGGCCAAGUUUGAAAGCGGUUUGCCGGCACCACCUGCGUCGUGCUGCCCACACCAUCUGCUCAGCUACUGGAAGAGAAGAUCGUAUCCGCGAAACAUCUCAAAUCGUGCCGAACCAACACGGGCCUGCGACCCGACAACCCAACGGAGAGAGAGAAAUGCGAAACAAGCCACCUGGCCACAAAUGAAAGCGCAACGAAGUGGCUUGCCAC
Long non-coding RNA from Petromyzon marinus (sea lamprey), 1074 nucleotides. RefSeq lists it as uncharacterized. The record is from RefSeq and is a predicted model, not a curated record. Lineage: Eukaryota; Metazoa; Chordata; Hyperoartia; Petromyzontiformes; Petromyzontidae.